CCUACGGGUGGCAGCAGUGAGGAAUAUUGGUCAAUGGACGAGAGUCUGAACCAGCCAAGUAGCGUGAAGGAUGACUGCCCUAUGGGUUGUAAACCUCUUUUAUAAGGGAAUAAAACGAGGCACGUGUGCCUUUUUGCAUGUACCUUAUGAAUAAGGAUUGGCUAACUCCGUGCCAGCAGCCGCGGUAAUACGGAGGAUGCGAGCGUUAUCCGGAUUUAUUGGGUUUAAAGGGUGCGUAGGCGGUAUGUUAAGUCAGCGGUAAAAGCCCGGGGCUCAACCCCGGCGAGCCGUUGAGACUGGCUGUCUUGAGAUGGCGAGAGGUAUGCGGAAUGCGCGGUGUAGCGGUGAAAUGCUUAGAUAUCACGCAGAACUCCGAUUGCGAAGGCAGCAUACCGGCGGCGAACUGACGCUGAGGCACGAAAGCGUGGGUAUCGAACAGGAUUAGAUACCCGAGUAGUC
This 459-nucleotide ribosomal RNA is filed under the name uncultured bacterium. RNAcentral's name for it is "partial 16S ribosomal RNA". It matches the Rfam family "Bacterial small subunit ribosomal RNA", at positions 338 to 795 of the family's 1533-position model. The record is from RNAcentral.